GGCUGGUCCGAGUGCAGUGGUGCUUACAAGUAAUUGAUCGUAACCAGUUACAGAUUCCUUUGUUCCUUCUCCACUCCUGCUGCUUCCCUUGACUAGCCUAAA
This 102-nucleotide Y RNA is filed under the name Propithecus coquereli (Coquerel's sifaka). Its description in RNAcentral is "Y RNA (ENSPCOG00000007318.1)". It matches the Rfam family "Y RNA". Rfam says of the family: Y RNAs are components of the Ro ribonucleoprotein particle (Ro RNP), in association with Ro60 and La proteins. The Y RNAs and Ro60 and La proteins are well conserved, but the function of the Ro RNP is not known. In humans the RNA component can be one of four small RNAs -- hY1, hY3, hY4 and hY5. Lineage: Eukaryota; Metazoa; Chordata; Mammalia; Primates; Indriidae. The record is from Rfam by way of RNAcentral.